Long non-coding RNA from Seriola dumerili (greater amberjack), 298 nucleotides. RefSeq lists it as uncharacterized. Lineage: Eukaryota; Metazoa; Chordata; Actinopteri; Carangiformes; Carangidae. The record is from RefSeq and is a predicted model, not a curated record. The transcript is spliced from 3 exons.
AGAAACAACAUGUAGGAGUCAUAUUAGUCAUGCUGCGUCAUAUUUAGUGCAAAAUGGUUGAGCCUGCCCAUAACUGAGGCACACUCUCAGAAGACCACAUGAUGCUUUUCUGUCAGCGUGUCUGACAUUCCAGUCCAAGAGCUCAGUCCAAGAACGCUUGAGGGACGCUCAUGAAGCUGUAACCGGACCUGACUCAGACCAGGAACCAAGACAACCCCUCGCUGCUCUUUGAACCUCUCACAAAGCUCCAGUUACCAGGCAACCGUCGGAGACUCCAGGAAGCCGCUGCAGCUGGCCA